Molecule: unclassified non-coding RNA, 1005 nt
Filed under: Hevea brasiliensis (rubber tree)
Lineage: Eukaryota; Viridiplantae; Streptophyta; Magnoliopsida; Malpighiales; Euphorbiaceae
Source: RNAcentral
AGAUUUUUGCUGGCUUUGUGAAGAGCCACAGGUGUGCCCUUUGCACUUACCAUACUUUUGAAAGCAUAAUUGUACAAUAAUUACCUGCUUCUCGUAUGAUGCAGAAAUUGCUAGUUCCAUUUGAGAUGCGAGGCUAUCAAGGUGUUUAUAACUUGGAAAAGAAGAUAUAUGAAGCCGCAGUUAGAGGUCUCACACCAGUUAAAGGUCCAAUGCCAGUAAAAUUUCCCCUUCCAAAUCCUCGUGAUCCUUUUUCCUUAAAACCAGGGUCUAUUUCAAUGCUGUUACCUGAAAAAGCAUCUGAAGUGGAGAAAUCAUCAAGUCUCACAGCAGCUAUUGCUGGUGCCCGUGCUGCAGCUACUCAGUUCAACAAGAAAGAUCAAGAUCUCUUAGUAAAUGCUGUCCAGAAUAGCAAUUCUAAUUCCAGAAGGAGCAACCUAGCGAACAGCAAACCUUUGGAAGAACAUAAAAAGCCACAUUUUAACUUGUAUGGAGAACCUUCGGUGUCAAAUGAGGCAGAUCAAAGCAAUUACAUCAAGUGUGAAGAAAGCAGUAGCCAUAGUCGAACUCGUGCGGAUAUGAAACAACUUCCUGGAGCUCCUGCUAAGAUUUUUGCUGCUGCAGUUAGAGGGCUGAAGCCAUCCUGAAUUUAUGUUGUUCCUGUUGAGCAUUAGUUUUACACAGUAAUUCUCCCAUACAAGUGGCCUCCAGAAGUUGAUCGUAUCUUGCAGAGAUUCAAGUCAGCCUGCAAUCAGUUGAAGAUUACUUGUUAGCUGGUUACUUUUUGCUGUAUUUAUUCUUCAGCACCUGUCAAUAGUUUAUAACGUAUUUGGAUUGAUCUAGAUUACGAUAUAUUUACAGAAUUGUUGUUAGAUGCAUGGAUUUUUACAGAGUUGAAAUUGUCAGAAGGAAUGUAUCUGGAUUCAAACUAGACUACAUUGUAUUCAUAGAAUUGUGUUAAUAUAUGGGAACUUCUACUUGUUUGAAUCUGGGAAAUUCUUUCUUGAU